RNAcentral lists this ribosomal RNA (469 nucleotides) under uncultured bacterium. Its description in RNAcentral is "bacterial SSU rRNA". It matches the Rfam family "Bacterial small subunit ribosomal RNA", at positions 328 to 794 of the family's 1533-position model. The record is from RNAcentral.
GGGCCAGACUCCUACGGGAGGCAGCAGUGAGGAAUAUUGGUCAAUGGGCUUACGCCUGAACCAGCCAAGUCGCGUGAGGGAAGACUGCCCUAUGGGUUGUAAACCUCUUUUGUCAGGGAGCAACGCCGGCUACGUGUAGCCGGACUGAGAGUACCUGAAGAAAAAGCAUCGGCUAACUCCGUGCCAGCAGCCGCGGUAAUACGGAGGAUGCGAGCGUUAUCCGGAUUUAUUGGGUUUAAAGGGUGCGCAGGCGGCCUUUUAAGUCAGGGGUAAAAGCCCGGGGCUCACCCCGGCCGAGCCGUUGAAACUGGCGGGCUGGAGUUGGAGAGAAGUACGCGGAAUGCGCGGUGUAGCGGUGAAAUGCUUAGAUAUCGCGCAGAACCCCGAUUGCGAAGGCAGCGUACCGGCUCCACACUGACGCUGAGGCACGAAAGCGUGGGUAUCGAACAGGAUUAGAUACCCGGGUAGC